Molecule: non-coding RNA, 242 nt
Organism: Ceratotherium simum simum (southern white rhinoceros)
Lineage: Eukaryota; Metazoa; Chordata; Mammalia; Perissodactyla; Rhinocerotidae
Source: RefSeq, a predicted model, not a curated record
AGGAGAAAGCAAACGGGGGCUUAUUUCACCUUCAGGAAUCAUUCUGACAUGAUGUCUCCAAAUAUCAGAGUUUUGCGGUCACUCCAAACAUCACAGUUUUGUUAAAGGUGUGUCUUCAAGCUGAGGGGCCACCCACCACCAACCCAUCUUGGUGGUUCCUCCAGGCCUGGAACAGCCCCACCAUCCGUCUUGGUAAGAACAGAAGAGGCUUCCUCUUAUUAGUACCAUAAUAGUCACAUUAA